Molecule: ribosomal RNA, 367 nt
Filed under: uncultured organism
Description: bacterial LSU rRNA
Rfam family: Bacterial large subunit ribosomal RNA
Source: RNAcentral
CUUUACUGUAACUUGGCAUUGAAUUUUGGAUUUAACUGUCUAGGAUAGGUAGGAGACAUUGAAAUCAGAUCGCCAGAUCUGGUGGAGUCGUCCUUGGAAUACUACCCUGUUGAAUCUAGGAUUCUAACCUAGAGCCGUAAGCCGGCUCAGGGACAAUGUCUGGUGGGCAGUUUGACUGGGGCGGUCGCCUCCCAAAUUGUAACGGAGGCGUACGAAGGUUCCCUCAGGCUGAUUGGAAACCAGCCGAAGAGUGCAAAGGCAUAAGGGAGCUUAACUGCGAGACCGACAGGUCGAGCAGAUGCGAAAGCAGGUCUUAGUGAUCCGGUGGUUCCGAGUGGAAGGGCCAUCGCUUAACGGAUAAAAGGUA